CAUGAACUGGGUCUCCAAAGGAAUAUCAUUUCCACAUGUCCCCAUUCUCUGAGUCAUCCACCAUAGCUUGAAACGGAAUAAACACAUGAACCGAGUAUCCUCUAAGACCCCAACAGGGAAGAGAUGGAAGCAUUUGGUCUCUGAAGCAGUUGCUCCAAUAAAUGCACCAGUAACAAGUCCCACACCAGAUCCAGGUGUUAAGAUAAUGUUGUCAGGUACACUCUUGAGUAUGGUGUUGCCAUGGACAAUGAGGUUGCCAUCAUUUAUGGAGAUGUUAGGUGUCACUGUCAUCUGAAACUCCUUUGAGG
Molecule: unclassified non-coding RNA, 308 nt
Filed under: Hevea brasiliensis (rubber tree)
Lineage: Eukaryota; Viridiplantae; Streptophyta; Magnoliopsida; Malpighiales; Euphorbiaceae
Source: RNAcentral